This 398-nucleotide ribosomal RNA is filed under the name uncultured bacterium. RNAcentral describes it as "bacterial SSU rRNA". It matches the Rfam family "Bacterial small subunit ribosomal RNA", at positions 355 to 769 of the family's 1533-position model. The record is from RNAcentral.
UGGGGAAUAUUGCACAAUGGGCGCAAGCCUGAUGCAGCAAUGCCGCGUGAGUGAAGACGGCCUUAGGGUUGUAAAACUCUUUCGCUAGGGAAGAUAAUGACGGUACCUAGUAAAGAAGUCCCGGCUAACUCCGUGCCAGCAGCCGCGGUAAUACGGAGGGGAACUAGCGUUGUUCGGAAUUACUGGGCGUAAAGAGUUCGUAGGCGGACUAGCAAGUUAGAGGUGAAAUCCCAGGGCUCAACCUUGGAACUGCCUUUAAAACUGCUAGUCUAGAGACCGGAAGAGGUUAGGGGAAUACCUAGUGUAGAGGUGAAAUUCGUAGAUAUUAGGUGGAACACCAGUGGCGAAGGCGCCUAACUGGUCCGGUACUGACGCUGAGGAACGAAAGCGUGGGGAGC